AUGAGUUACCCUCACAACCACAGGCACUCACCUCCGCCACCAGGACCUCCCAUUGGAAUAGGGCACCCACUUGUUCCUGGUCCACCACCGCCACAACCGCCUACGUUCCACCCUCCACCACCUCAUGAUCUUUUUUAUCCCCCGCCACCUGUUUUCCACCAUCCACCCCCUCCUCCAAACCCGUACGCUCCACCACCACCACCACCAAUUGUGCACCACCAUCAUACACCACCGCCACCGUGGUAUGGUCCUCCAGGUCCUCCGCCACCACAGCCUGGUCCUCCCGGUCCUCCGCUGACACGCCCUCCUUAUUAUUAA
Molecule: non-coding RNA, 318 nt
Organism: Vicia faba (fava bean)
Lineage: Eukaryota; Viridiplantae; Streptophyta; Magnoliopsida; Fabales; Fabaceae
Source: the annotation of a GenBank genome assembly